UAGAGCUGUUUCUGCACUGAGGCAGGGACUGCAGGCCAGUGACGGAGUGAUCUUGUGUGACUUCAUGCUCUCAGAGUCUUGCUGGAAACCCCUCUGGCUCUCAGACCCUCUUCUGUGAACCAGAAGUCUCUAUCCUGCCUUCUGCUGAGGGUCACAGGAUAAGUAUCCAUAGGUGUAACUCACACACCAGCACUUUGCAAGGUGUCCCCCCACCCACACAGAAGAGUUCCUCUGUGCCCGCAGGCAGGAGCAGCCCCCCACAUACACACACAGUACAUUCAUUCAUUCACUCACAUAGUACUUUCAUUCAUCCACCCAUUCAAAUAGUACAUUCAUUCAUUCACUCACUCACACAGUACAUUCGUUCAAUCAUCCAUUCACACAGUACAUUCAUUCAUUCAUUCACACAGUUCAUUCAUUCAUUCACACAGUUCAUUCAUUCACACUGUACAUUCAUUCACACACUUCAUUCAUUCAUUAACCACAUGGUGAGUAUUCCUUGCAUCUCAGAGAUGGGGACAAAGGAGUGACCCCACUAGGCCCAAGGUUGCAGGGGGCUGGGGUGGAGUGGAUACAUUUUGUAGAUUGGAUUCUCUUAUUCAGUAAAGUGUUUAGUGAAUUGGUUGACAGCAAUGCCAG
This 639-nucleotide long non-coding RNA is filed under the name Pan troglodytes (chimpanzee). RNAcentral describes it as "long non-coding RNA NONPTRT012343". Lineage: Eukaryota; Metazoa; Chordata; Mammalia; Primates; Hominidae. The record is from RNAcentral.